Molecule: long non-coding RNA, 353 nt
Organism: Dreissena polymorpha
Lineage: Eukaryota; Metazoa; Mollusca; Bivalvia; Myida; Dreissenidae
Exons: 2
Source: RefSeq, a predicted model, not a curated record
AGAACGCUUUGGCCUAGGAUCAUGAAACUUCAUAGGUACAUUGAUCAUGACUUGCAGAUGACCCCUAUUGAUUUUGAGGUCACUAGGUCAAAGGUCAAGGUCACGGUGACCCGAAAUAGUAAAAUGGUUUCCGGAUGAUAACUCAAGAACGCAUACGCCUAGGAUCAUGAAACUUCAUGGGUAGAUUGAUAAUGACUCGCAGAUGACCCCUAUUGAUUUUGAGGUCACUAGGUCAAAGGUCAAGGUCACGGUGACCCGAAAUAGUAAAAUGGUUUUCGGAUGAUAACUCAAGAACGCAUAUGCCUAGGAUCAUGAAACGUCAUAGGUAGAUUGAUCAUGACUCGCAGAUGACC